This 449-nucleotide ribosomal RNA is filed under the name uncultured bacterium. RNAcentral's name for it is "partial 16S ribosomal RNA". It matches the Rfam family "Bacterial small subunit ribosomal RNA", at positions 29 to 523 of the family's 1533-position model. The record is from RNAcentral.
AACGAACGCUGGCGGCAGGCUUAACACAUGCAAGUCGAACGAGAUCUUUGGAUCUAGUGGCAGACGGGUGAGGAACACGUGGGAACAUCCCUUUCAGUUCGGAAUAACGUUGGGAAACUAACGCUAAUACCGGAUACGUCCUUCGGGAGAAAGAUUUAUCGCUGAAAGAUUGGCCCGCGUCUGAUUAGCUAGUUGGUGAGGUAACGGCUCACCAAGGCUACGAUCAGUAGCUGAUCUGAGAGGAUGAUCAGCCACAUUGGGACUGAGACACGGCCCAAACUCCUACGGGAGGCAGCAGUGGGGAAUAUUGGACAAUGGGCGCAAGCCUGAUCCAGCCACGCCGCGUGAGUGAUGACGGCCUUCGGGUUGUAAAGCUCUUUUGUCCGGGAAGAUAAUGACUGUACCGGAAGAAUAAGCCCCGGCAAACUUCGUGCCAGCAGCCGCCGUAA